This 468-nucleotide ribosomal RNA is filed under the name uncultured bacterium. RNAcentral's name for it is "partial 16S ribosomal RNA". It matches the Rfam family "Bacterial small subunit ribosomal RNA", at positions 28 to 507 of the family's 1533-position model. The record is from RNAcentral.
GACGAACGCUGGCGGCGUGCUUAACACAUGCAAGUCGAACGGAAAGGCCCUGCUUUUGUGGGGUGCUCGAGUGGCGAACGGGUGAGUAACACGUGAGUAACCUGCCCUUGACUUUGGGAUAACUUCAGGAAACUGGGGCUAAUACCGGAUAGGAGCUCCUGCUGCAUGGUGGGGGUUGGAAAGUUUCGGCGGUUGGGGAUGGACUCGCGGCUUAUCAGCUUGUUGGUGGGGUAGUGGCUUACCAAGGCUUUGACGGGUAGCCGGCCUGAGAGGGUGACCGGCCACAUUGGGACUGAGAUACGGCCCAGACUCCUACGGGAGGCAGCAGUGGGGAAUAUUGCACAAUGGGCGGAAGCCUGAUGCAGCAACGCCGCGUGCGGGAUGACGGUCUUCGGGUUGUAAACCGCCUUCGCCUGUGACGAAGCGUGAGUGACGGUAAUGGGUAAAGAAGCACCGGCUAACUACGUG